UACGGGGGGGGCAAGCGUUGUUCGGAAUUACUGGGCGUAAAGGGCUCGUAGGCGGCCCUCUCAGUCGGAUGUGAAAUCCCCAGGCUUAACCUGGGAACGGCAUCCGAUACUGGAGGGCUUGAAUUCGGGAGAGGGAUGCAGAAUUCCAGGUGUAGCAGUGAAAUGCGUAGAUAUCUGGAGGAAUACCGGUGGCGAAGGCGGCAUCCUGGACCGAGAUUGACGCUGAGGAGCGAAAGCUAGGGGAGCAAACGGG
Molecule: ribosomal RNA, 253 nt
Filed under: uncultured bacterium
Lineage: Bacteria
Description: partial 16S ribosomal RNA
Rfam family: Bacterial small subunit ribosomal RNA
Source: RNAcentral